CGUAGGUGGCGAGCGUUAUCCGGAAUCAUUGGGCGUAAAGGGUGCGUAGGCGGCGAGUUAAGUCUGAGGUAAAGGUUGCAGCUCAACUGUAACAAGCCUUGGAAACUGACUAGCUAGAGUGCAGGAGAGGGCAGUGGAAUUCCAUGUGUAGCGGUAAAAUGCGUAGAUAUAUGGAGGAACACCAGUGGCGAAGGCGGCUGUCUGGCCUGUAACUGACGCUGAGGCACGAAAGCGUGGGAGCAAAUAGGAUU
RNAcentral lists this ribosomal RNA (251 nucleotides) under uncultured bacterium. RNAcentral's name for it is "partial 16S ribosomal RNA". It matches the Rfam family "Bacterial small subunit ribosomal RNA", at positions 526 to 779 of the family's 1533-position model. The record is from RNAcentral.